UGAUCAUGUUAUAAAACAAACUGAUGAAUAUAUUAUGUUACCUUGAGUGUAAUACUAAGACUAAUAAUUUUACGUGUGCAUUUCUUCCUUUUCCUUCCAGGUGAGAAUGGAAGGUGAUGUGGAUCAUGAGUGCAUCAUUUGUUCACUGUGAAAUCAAAUCUUACCUGUCAUAUGAAGCUACAUGAUGAACACGAGAACUGAAGAAUGAUGUUUGUUGUCCCCACAUGAAGUGGUAAAAGCAGCUCCUGGAGUUUGUCUACUAAUUUCCUGCUGUGAAAAAUGAUCUUGAUAACCGCUUGAAAAAGCACAAAGAGAAACAAGAACCACUGACAGACCUGGACCCAGAUUACAUUGAAGAUGCUAAACUGUUGGCUGUUGCAGAUGUGCACUUUAGGCCCUACAACACUGUUCUGCUUGUCAUCUCAUAAAAACCUACACUUUAUGCAUAAAUUAAAAUAAUGUUGACCCUUUCCUUAAAAGUUGACUCAUUUUAAAGAUAAUUAUGAUAUGUGGACUC
Anneissia japonica is the source of this 517-nucleotide long non-coding RNA. RefSeq lists it as uncharacterized. The record is from RefSeq and is a predicted model, not a curated record. Lineage: Eukaryota; Metazoa; Echinodermata; Crinoidea; Comatulida; Comatulidae. The transcript is spliced from 3 exons.